CAUCUCCUAACCAGUGGAUUAUGAUUUCAAGUAGUAGGAUUUUUCCAGAUGUGAAGCCUAGGGAGAGCAGGCUGACUUGUAGGGAGGUGAAAAAUCAGAUGGUUAAAACUAUACCGAAGUCCUUUACUCUCUCAAGUUGCUUCCUCUGGGGCACAUCUCAGUGAUCCAAGAGUGCAAUGGAAAGCUACUUCCUGGUCUCCGUUGCAUCUCCCCUCCCAAUUUUUCCAACAGAGAGAUCUUCAGGCAUGGUGGAUGGAGCACAGGCCAAGGGGUCAGAAGGAUCUGGGUCCACAUUCUGGUUCUGACAGAUAAAAGCCUGUAUGAUCCAGGGACAAGUUGGAGCUAUGUAUCCAGCCCUGGGAGAAACACUUCAAAAGGGACACUGAAAGAUGAGAAAAUAUUCAGAAAAGGACCUCAAUCCAACUGCACUUCCUCAUCGUGUGGGAUUCUUGUCCAUUGCUUUGUGAACAUCUCUGCAGGAUCCACCCAGUGACCUGGAGCCUGUGCUCUAGUUCUUUCAUUUUACAGUGUACAGUUCAGAGAGGGAUCUGCUUGUUGUGUAACAUCUGGACCUAACUCCAAGCUAAAAAAAAAUGCCAACCUGGACCGUUCAGUCCAAUCCAUCAUCCUUUCUUCAACAGCUACAUUUUGGGGAUAAACAUGCUAGCUUCUUACCUUCCAAGGUUCAGAAGUACAUUUAAACAUCCUCAACUUCCCUACUGGGGAUCAACUAUGGACAAAUUUAAUUGAAGCUCUUAAUGAAUCGCGCCCCACGUUUUGGCCAAGGCAACUUCUUGGUUGUAGGAGAUUUCCAGAAGUAUUUUUGU
Molecule: non-coding RNA, 827 nt
Organism: Phascolarctos cinereus (koala)
Lineage: Eukaryota; Metazoa; Chordata; Mammalia; Diprotodontia; Phascolarctidae
Source: RefSeq, a predicted model, not a curated record